GCUGGAUUUUGAAGGGUUGGAACGUAAUUCCAGCAUUCAAGAGGCAACAAAUCACGAAUUCUACUCACGCGAUUUUUGGUGAAGAUAUCUUGUUUGUUGGAUGCAGAUGCAAUUUGCGCCAACACAACUUUUGCGUCCACCCAACAAUACACUUUGGUAAUCCCGAGGGAUUUAGAAACUUUGUCCACUAAUUGUGCUCCCAGAGUUGCGGCGGUGAGCUCAAGUUUGGGGAUUGUUUUCUUUUUCACGGGUGUCACUUUAGAUUUGGCGGUUAACAAAUGACUGGCAAUUUUCCCGCUUGAAUCUAUGGUGACUCGAUAGAUGGCGGCACCAUAAGCUAAGUUGGAGGCAUCUGAGAACAUAUGAAGUUGUUCUUCGAGAGGUUCUGCGAAUGAAGAUGUCCAUCGGGGGAUUUUGAUCUGGGGAAUUGUGUGAAUUGCCUCCAGGAACUUCAUCCAAUCUCUGUCAAGUACUCUUCAAAGAUGUUGGAGUAUUCGUGAUACAGCUGAGGAUUUUGCGAGAGACGCCUUUCUAGGAAGUUCAAUUGCCGUGCUGAUUUACUUUGGUUACUUUCGAGUUCACCAAAGUUUCCUUUCAUCGGUAAAUGAACGAUGUACUGACCAGUUUCUGAUCUUCGGGUAGUACUUUGAGAGAUAGUAUGGCAAACAGCGGUGGAUUGUUGGGACAGCGGAUUUGCGGGUUGCCACUUGCCUCCAAUUGUCCAGCCGAAAACGGUGUUGCGUAGCGAUGGUUUUCCCUCUCCAAGUUUGUAAACAUCAUCCAGCAUGAUUUCGUCCUCAUGAGCCGCUCCAAUCAACAAAUCAAUGCGACCGGUUUGAUGCCAUGUGGGGUCAGCUAGUACGAAGUUUUCUGGGAUUCUAACAUCCUUCGGGUUAAUGCGGCAUGUGGGGACAAGCGUUGCGUUCACCUGAUGCUUGAUGUUGCUGAUUUGACCCUGGAAUCCCUCAACUUGACCGUAGGGAGACUUGGACAAAUUCAAACGCAGUCUUUGGCACAAAUCCGUAGUCAUAACAGAAAUCUCUGAACCGAAGUCCAAUAAUGCACGACAAAUGUGGACGUUAGAUUGGGAAUCGAGGAUUUUCACGCAUGCUGUCUUCAAGAUUGCUCGAUGACCUUCCACAUUGUUCUGAUUGGCCAAUGGAACGACGCCGCUACAAACGACAGGGCGGGCAUUCUCCUCAAGCACGGGAUUAGGAGCAUCCUUGGGCAAUUCAGAUUGGGAUUGGGUGAGAGCAUCGUGGAGCCAGUAAUUGUGCAUUUGGCCACAAUGUUUGCAGGGAGGAUAUGGGCAUUUGUCUAUAGGGUGGCGCGACCUACUUUCUGAGAUACAAUUCGAGCACAGAUUGAGAUUGUUCACAGUUUCGAGUCUUUUGAGAGCUGGCAUAGACUUGAAAUGACCACACUUCCAAAGCUGGUGUGAUGCCUUCUUGCACACGAAAUACCUGGAACUCAUCCCACGUCGGCAUAUCUGUCUGUUCACGAGCCCAAAGCGUCUGAGUCUCUGUAUCCAUCUUGCAUAGCACUUCAUGGAUAAUCCAGGGAUCUCUUCCGAAUGCCUGGAGGGCAUCAAUGGCAGCCAGCGUCGUCGUGGUGACAUCGUAGAUCUUCCUCAAUUCAUCUGCACGUGGAGUCUUUGCUGCUGGAAGUUUCUUCACCCGCUCAAUGUGCUCUUUGAUGACAGUUCGUCGAUUUUCAAAGCGAUUGCACAGGGCAUUCCAUGCGAUGGCAUAAUUUUCUCCCGUCAGCGUGAGAUGAUCUAUCACUCCUUUGGCCUGUCCAGCAAGUGAUGUCUUCAAGUAAUGUAACUUCUGCGUGUCCGUUAAGCGAGGGUUUGCAUCAACGAGACUUGUGAAUAAAUCUCUGAAGGAAUGCCAUUCAGCGUAGGCUCCGCUAAACGUCGGCACUUUGACUGGUUCCAACCGUGAGUAUUGAGAAUUUGAUCCUUCAUGUGCCCUAUUCAAGAGCUCGCUGAAU
Molecule: long non-coding RNA, 1995 nt
Organism: Lutzomyia longipalpis
Lineage: Eukaryota; Metazoa; Arthropoda; Insecta; Diptera; Psychodidae
Exons: 5
Source: RefSeq, a predicted model, not a curated record